UUAAAAAUCCAAGACAAGAAAAUAAAGCAUCAACUAAAGCAUUUCAGCUACAUAUGGAAAACUCACAGGCAAAGUCAGAAAGUGAUUAAAAGAAAAAAGCAGCGAAAGAAAUCCCACCAAACCAUACCAAAUUCACUUCAUGCUCAAUCCAUUGGUUAAUCAGCCUCUGCAUAAGCAGUCUCAAGGUGGGCUUGCUCAGCUUCUUGCACCUCCUUCUCAGUCUUCCUUCCUUUCUUGCACUUGUAGUAGACACUCAUGAAGGUUCCCACAGCUCCAUAUCUCCUCCGGCAUUGCUCAUAGAGUCCAGCAUCAAACAUUCUCCAGAAAUUCUUCUCACUCAGCUCAGAAACUGCAUACUGCGGCUGAAAGCCAUGAUUCUCAAUCAACCAGUUCUCCAUUCUACGAACUGCCUCAGGACCAUCAAACACCUCACCUCUGAAUACAGGUUCUGGUGUAUAAUAAACUCCAACAUCUGUAUACAUUUGAGCAUAGGGUGUGUCACCCUGUUUGAGCUGAUGCUCAAAUCCUGGCUCAGGAUACACCAUAGUUUUGACAGGCAACUUGAAUAGUCUGUGUGGACAGAGCCAAAUGGGGUAUAUCUCCAUCUCACGGUCAACCCACUCUAGGGCAUCUCCAACCUUGUAAAGAGGAACAAGCAUAUCCUGAAUGACAUGCAUCUCAUGGUAGUAGUUUCUGAUUGCUUCACCUUGGGUAGCCUUGAGCAAAGAAACCUUGGGAGGCAUCAUCCAGCCCAACAGAAAUCUAAACCACCAUUGAUCAGCAAAUGGAAGUAUAAGUUUUCCCUCCCAGUACAAACACCUCGUGUGCCUGUGGUAAUAUUCCCUGGUUGGGAUGUACUCUAUGAACUCUCCUUUCUUUAAGGCUGUCUGUGCAUGCUGGUAGAACCAAGGUUUAUACCACCAACCAACACUGUUAAUUACAUUGCCCUUGUUCUUGGCUUCUUCUUUUGAGGCAUAUCUCCCUGUCAUCAUCACACCUUCAGUACGACAAUAAAUCAUGCCUUCUACAAAGUCUGGAACCUUCGCUGGGUUAUCCUGAUCAAGAUCUCUAGGUGCAAAUGAGUCCAUAUAAGCCUGGGCUAGAUCUUUGAGAGUACCCACAACAGGUUUGUAUGUGACCUUCAUGUAUUCUUUAAUGGGUAUAAGUUUUACCUCAGCAGCAACAAGAAGGCCAAGUGUCCCUUGAGACCAAGGGAUGGCAUAAAAAAGAUCAGAAUAUUCAUUGUCCUUGGUAGCUCUGACAACGUUACCAUCUGCCAGAACGAUUUCAUAAGCUACAACAGUAUCAGAGAACAAGCCAUAUAUAUGAGAGCUUCCUUCAAUCCCAUAACCAUUGAUGAGCCCACCAACAGUAAGAUCAUCAAGCUCAGCAACCACUGCAAGGGCAAGAUUCAUUGGGACAGUUUCCCUAGAAAUCUGCCCCAUGUUUACAAGUGGCUCAACUCUUGCAAUCAUUCUUUCUUUAUCAAUUUCAAGAAUAUUGCGAAAUGCUGAUAAAUCAACUUCAAAAUGCCGAGCCCUCUUAUAGUCAACAUUCCGCAUUCCAACAGCAAUCCAGGGUUUACGGGCAGUGCAUACAAGACCAUCCUUUGAUGGGUUCCUCUGCUUGAGGCGUUUCACAACUUUCUGAACAUUUUCUUCAUGUUCCUUCUGGCGUCGCUUGUAGGAUUUCAUCCCAGACUUAACAUCUCCAAGAUAAAUGAGAAAGUAAAUUGUAAAAGAGAUUGGAAGGACAACAAAAAUAACCAAAAUCCAUCGGAACUGAACCAAAUAGUCCACAAGCACCCUUUUCCUCUUUGGACGCAAGGGAGCCUCAAGAUCUGACAUUGUGCUUUAGCGAAUACCGCUCUUAACUGAGGAGCGAAUGAAAGCUCAAAGAUCGGAACCGAAGUUUAAGCUUUGAAGGCGAAGCGAUAAAUAUAAAG
This 1945-nucleotide unclassified non-coding RNA is filed under the name Hevea brasiliensis (rubber tree). Lineage: Eukaryota; Viridiplantae; Streptophyta; Magnoliopsida; Malpighiales; Euphorbiaceae. The record is from RNAcentral.